This is a long non-coding RNA of Chenopodium quinoa (quinoa), 1296 nucleotides long. RefSeq lists it as uncharacterized. The record is from RefSeq and is a predicted model, not a curated record. The transcript is spliced from 3 exons. NCBI's taxonomy places the organism in Eukaryota, Viridiplantae, Streptophyta, Magnoliopsida, Caryophyllales, Amaranthaceae.
ACGCCAAAUGAAAUAUUACAUUUAUUUAUUUAUUUGCUAAUUCUAAACUUAAUUUGGAACUAUAAAACCAAUUUCAAAACCUUACCCAAGCAAUUCCACCACUAAAAAUUAUGGAUAUUUUUUUUCACAAAACCCACCUUGUUACCCACCCGAUUUUUACAAAAUCCCCCUUCUACCUCAUUCUUUAUCCUCCUCAUAGUUGGCCACCAGCCAUUCCAGCGCAGCCUCGCCUUAACCCUCCCCUCAAAACACACUCACGCACACCCUGCUAAAACCUCUUACCCGCAAAUUCUUGGCUGCGUUCUAGUGCAGCCAAACUAGCUGCAACAAUAUUAAAUGUGAACAUAUAGUACAUUAAAAUGAACAUACGCUUUUUUCUUCCUUAUAUUUUAAUUCUCUCUCUUCUUCUUCCUUAGCUCUAUUAUUUUUCUCUCUCUUCAGUUUUCUUCUCAAUUUAAAAUUUUCUCUCUCCUCUCUACCUCACUUCCCUUCAAUCUUUAAAGUUUCUUCUUUAUUUAUAUAAAUUUUUUAAUUAGUAAUUUGUGUUUUGAUGGGUUUACUCGUUUCUUUCUAAAUCUAUGAGUUUCAGAUUCAAUUAAUUGACUUUAUCAAAAAGGAAAGAAAAAUAUGGAGGAGAGAAAAAAUUGAAGGUCAAUGAAAACAAUGGAGAUUUAAGGUAGAAGACGCUCUUUUUGCCACGAAGCCUUGGAAAGCUCCGGGUCCGGAUGGUGUUCCUGCUGGUUUCUAUCAAAAAAAUUGGGCUGGGUACAGGAAGAUGUGACAGAUGUUGUGCUUUCUUGCCUUAGAACAGAGCAUGGUGUUGAUUUGGGCGGAUCGCGGACAUGCUGUUUAGGUUAUUUGAUUUGGGCCGCGUGUUUUGGGCUUGCCCUUGUUGUAGCUAAGACAUAUUGCCUUUUACCAACAAGAUCAAAAUAUGGUUUUAAACCAAUUUUCUAUUUAUGCAUGGUGUUGAGCAAGUUUGUAAAAAAUAGUGGUUGGAUUGGUGAAAAAAAAAGGGCUUUAGACAAAGUCGCUUGCUUUACACUUAUUACACGGUGGUUAACGUUCCAAAUCCGAAAGAUCUCAAAAUGGUCAAAAUAAAGAGAUUAUUUAAGGUUUAAAUCAUACGGAGUAUUUUGAGAAUGCAUAUGUAUGCAGCCCUCUAUUUCCACAACUUACAAAUUACUGUUUUUUUUUUUUUUGACAAAUUAGAUUAUUUUUUAAGUUUUUUAAUGCAUCCCAAUCAAGAAACAUCUAAGUUUGCCAAAUAUGCAUGCUACAGCCUACAGGAUCGCA